AAUUGAAGAUGAAAACAUGUAGUAAGAAGAAUAACGAUCAUAAGACAUACAUGGGCUGCGAAGACUGAUGACUAGAACAGCGUGCGUGGGCAUUGUAGAGAUAUAAAUUCUGGAAUUUAUGAAGAUGAAGACUACGAAGAGCGAGCAAUCAUUAUGAAGAAAGAACUAUAAACGUAAACAGUGAAAUAUAUAUAAGUUAAAUAAUAAAUUCAAGUAGUUUACUACUAAAGUAGUGUUCAAUACUGAGACAGUUUCAGGAUGUAAACUAAAUUAUACUAAUAAUUCUAGAUGAAAUACAAACACUGAAAAAAAUAGAUAAAUGACGACAAUUAACGCGAUGGCUGAAAAUAAUUCAAAUAUUAUUAAAACACUAUUACAUUCAACGAUAUACUAUGUUGGCAUAGUAUCACUAUGUCAACAUUAAAAAGAAAAAAAAAUGAGGACAAAAUAAGAAGACAAUGUAUAGAAGCAAACAAAAAAAGCAAGUCUACGAGAAUUAUACAAACCACGGAAAUUAAUGUAAAGAGGAAAAAGCAUUGAAACUAAAGUUCAUAAGGUCAAUAAAAUAAAAUUCUGAAUAUUAAGAAACAAAACAAUCCUUGAGACGUAGAUAGAAAACAAAUAAAAAACAUUAAAGAUAAUAAAUAGUUCAACGUUGUAAAAUGAAGUAAGAAUAAUGAAAAGUAAUUAACAUAUGAAGAAUUAGUAUGACCAUGAAGAGGGGCAGCAGAUGUGAAACAAGAGAACGCUACAAAAUAAUUAAUUAUUUGAAGAAAAAUUUAAGGUAAGAAGAAGCGGCCAGUGUACGAUUUCCUCAUAUUGAAAAUUAAAGUUAUUGAAUAUUAAAAGGAAGAACCUAGCAGCGUGAUAAGAUAAACAGCAAGACUACUCUACAAAUAGAAACCGACCACCAAUUAAAAAGAAAAUUAAACAUGGUGAUGGAUAUUUGUAAAACGUAAAAUCCUACCGUCCAUAAAGAUCAAAUAUCUUAAUAUAAUAUAGAUGAAGUGUAAUAAAGUACAGAUAACAAUAGGACUAGACACGAAGAGCGAAACAAAAUCGCACCAAAAUAAUUGGACCAUCAUCACCAAACCAAUUUUAAAAAAAACACCAAAAAAUAUUAAGAUCCUUAACACAACCACACAGACAGACGUUAAUGUUGAAAAUAAUAAAGGAACGAAUUAUCUAAGAAGAAAGUGUUUAAGUAGGAUAUAAUCCUAAAAAAUAAUAAUGAAGUAACAGAAAAUGGACCGUUAGCGCACAAAACAACAACUAGGAAAACUACAUCAGCUAGAAUGAAAAAUAAAAUUUUCCUGUAAAACACAAACAUUGAAAUUACAUUGAAAUGUUAAUGUUAAAACCUGGCACACAAGCAAAUAACGAAUAAACAAUGAAAAAUGAAGGAAAAGUAAAGUUUAUCGAAUAUUUCAAGAUGAAGAGAAACUGAUACAGUAGAAUAAAAGAACACAAAUACCCUAAAACAUCAUAGGAGGUGAAAAUUUAAAAAGAAACAAACGAACAAUACUAAAAUAUGAUGACUUUCAACAAAAAACUGCGAUUAGCAGAAAUGAAGAUGAAAACAAUAAACACACACCAAGAGGUAAUUACUACCAUAAGCAGGGGAGCAAAAAUAUAUGAAGACACAAAGAAAAAAAUAAAGAAGAAUAUAUUUUUGUAUAUAGCUGUAUGCUACAUGCGAAGUUGUAUACGUUUGUUUUAGAAAUAAACGAAUGAAUUCUUA
Long non-coding RNA from Vanessa tameamea, 1741 nucleotides. RefSeq lists it as uncharacterized. The record is from RefSeq and is a predicted model, not a curated record. The transcript has 3 exons. Lineage: Eukaryota; Metazoa; Arthropoda; Insecta; Lepidoptera; Nymphalidae.